AGGACGAACGCUGGCGGCGUGCUUAACACAUGCAAGUCGAGCGGUAAGGCCUUUCGGGGUACACGAGCGGCGAACGGGUGAGUAACACGUGGGUGAUCUGCCCUGCACUUCUGGAUAAGCCUGGGAAACUGGGUCUAAUACCGGAUAUGACCUCCUAUCGCAUGGUGGGUGGUGGAAAGAUUUAUCGGUGCAGGAUGGGCCCGCGGCCUAUCAGCUUGUUGGUGGGGUAAUGGCCUACCAAGGCGACGACGGGUA
RNAcentral lists this ribosomal RNA (255 nucleotides) under uncultured soil bacterium. RNAcentral describes it as "partial 16S ribosomal RNA". It matches the Rfam family "Bacterial small subunit ribosomal RNA", at positions 26 to 285 of the family's 1533-position model. The record is from RNAcentral.